Molecule: long non-coding RNA, 4936 nt
Organism: Bacillus rossius redtenbacheri
Lineage: Eukaryota; Metazoa; Arthropoda; Insecta; Phasmatodea; Bacillidae
Exons: 4
Source: RefSeq, a predicted model, not a curated record
CCGAGAAUUCUCCGAGUGCGAGUGGAGUUUGAGUGGAGGAAUUUUCAUUGCACAGUCGAGAACGGAGUAAAAACGAAGUAAUAUCCGAAUGAAUCCGAGUAAAAACGAAGGAAUAUUGGAGUGUACGCGCAACCACACUCCGAGGGCCCUCGGAGUGAAAUAUGGAAAAAAAAUUCAAGAUGGCUGCGUUAUUAGAACCAAUUGUUGUGGAAUUUCUUGAUUUAAUUGAUGAAGUAUUUCUAGAAAAUGAAGAAAGAAACGUUUCCAGGGACCCACGUCGGUAUUUGAGGGAUUUUAAAAAUCCACUGGAGUGGUUUAGUGACGUGCUGUUCAGACCACGAUAUCGUUUUACCAAGGAUCUUGUUCCACAUCACAUUCUGCCUUUGCUAGUGUUUGAAGAACCACGGAGUCGUCGAGGAUUACCGCUACCGCCUGUCCUGCAGCUGCUAAUUGCCUUGCGAUUUUACGCAACAGGCACUUUCCAGAUGGUGGCAGGCGAGUUAACAGGCGUUAGCGAGUCCACAGUUUCCCGAAUUAUCAGACGUAUCUCUGUCGGUUUAGCGCAACAUACUCUACAUCUGAUACGGUUUCCCACGGGCGAUGAAUUUCGAUUGAACAAGCUACGAUUUUAACACUUUCCCGGUGUUACAGGAGUGACUGCACCCACAUAAAAAUCAAAAGCCCCGGCGGUGCUCGGGGGGGAAGUAUACAGGUACGUAGGUAAACAUUGUUAAGGCAUGUUGAAACAUGUUUCGUGACAGACAUUAAUAUGAAAUGUGAACUGCGAGAUAAAUUGAAAUAAUUUGUCUAGUUUGUAUUUAUUUCAAUAUUUAAUACAAUAUUCAUGUUAGCACAUAGUUCUUUCAUGUAGGUAGCUUGAUUGUAAAGUAUUUCAAUUUGUCAAGAGCAUUUUCUUGAAUCUGCUUAUUCGAAGAUGGGCGUGUGCAGGGACUGCUGCUGGGAGACAGUGGUUACCCACAGUUGCCAUACCUGUUCACGUACAGAUGCAGAGCAGAGGCCAACAAUGAUGUGCCAAUCCCACCAGUUCCUCUCCGACCUGGGCGCGCCAUGGCCAUCAGGAACGAGUUCAUCAUCCGGCAUUUCAAUUAGCUGUUUUGAAAUGAUUUUUACACACAUUGUUUUACGUGGCUUUUUGAAAUCAGUGACCAUGAUCGUACCGUUUAAUAUUAGGUUUGUUUGGCUGGAAUGAAUAUUUUAUGAUUUUUGCACUCAUUCUUAUGGCUACUUAUGAAUAAUUCAAUUAUAUAUCUUCAUUUGUUGCUAAGCCAUUCCAUUGCAUUUCCUUUAAUCCUUCACAUAUCUACAGGCCCUGGCAUUUUGUUUCCAACUUGUAAACAAAUUUCAAUUAAAUUAAGAAAUUUUACAUGAACUUUCUAAUAAUGCAGCCUUUUACAAAUGUCUGAGUAAAGAAGUACAUUUGUUUAUAUUUUUGCUUUUUGAUUCUUUUGUAUUUUAACUUGAUGAAAUAGGUAAUGUUUUGUUAAAAGUAUUAUUGUGCAAACAUAUUUAUGUUGUCUCAAGUUUCAUUUUGUUCACUUACCUAUGAUAUAGGAUUGUAUUGCAGGAUCUUAUUUCAUUUUACUUUUGUUUAGUCAAAAUGGUUUAUAUCUUAAGAAAGAAAAGUAAUAUAAAAUAUAUUUGUUUAAAAACAUUUAGAUAUACAGGUGUGGUGAAAAUAGGUAGGAAACUGUGAAUUCAACUAUGUAUUAUGCAAAAACAUUGGGAAUCAGUUGGUAAAAACUGGUUUCAUGAUUGAAAUACUCUCAAUGUAUUGGGUAAGAAUGUUUCCAAAUGAAACAUUGAAAAUUAGUUGAUUGUUUUGCAGUUCCUGUUGCUGCCGCCAGUUGUGGCUCCACUCAAGUGCUCGGUGCUGCCCCUCAGCGGCAACGUGGAGUGCCAGCCCUUCGUGUGCAGAGCAGUUAGUGGGCUGGCAGGGAUUCUGUUGUCUCUACAUCCUCGACGGGCAUGACCAGGAACAUUCAAACAUUCAGGAAUUACAUCAUAUUGAAGAUAAUUUAUUAUUUAAUGAUUUUGCAUGUUAUUUAAACAAACACAUUUCAGGGAAAUUGUGGGCAAACUUUGCCUAGGCUUGUAGUAAGCACUCAUGUGGUUUACCACUGAACUACCCUUGUUUGUUUAAAAAAAAUAACAAUAUUCUUCUACAAUGUUUUUUAUUUUUGACAAGAAGGGUAAAGUUAUGAAAAUACAAAAGUACAGCUACAAAUCUUUUAAAUGCAAUGCCAAAAGCAAAGAUUUUACAUUUUAAAAUUUUCGUUGUUAUAGUUGUUUUAAUUGUUUAAUAAUCAUGCAUUAAUACAUAACAAGAUAAUAUCAAGAAAUAUUGUUAUGGAACCUAUUGAACUAUAACAUUUUAAUGUAUAUAUAUAAUUGAUUGUGUAGUGUAUGUUAUUUCUUGUGGCAACAAUUUUUAAGUUGUUAAUUUUAUUCACGAUCUUAGUAUUUCAAUACUAUUAACACAAAUCACAACAUAGUACACAGUGUUAAAAGCCCUUCAUAAUUCUUGUACAUUUCUGUCUGAUGUUUCUCUGGAGACCUUUAGCCAUAUCUGUUUGAGAUCUGAUAUUGACUGCUACUAUGUAUGUAUUUCAUGUAUUUAUAAUAUGGUUACAAAAUACAAAAUACUUUAUGGUCACCUUUGCAUGUUAUUAUUUAUUUAAAUUGUUACUUUUAUUUAAAUGCUCUGCCACACACAUUAAUUUAUAUUGCAUGCCGUAUGUAAUUUCCAUCAGCUAAAACAUUUCAUGUACACAUACAUGUACAUUACAUACAUAUUUCACAUACCGCUACUUUAUGUUUAUUACUUUCAGUAUGCAUCUGAAAAUGUUCAAUUUCUGUGAGUUGAUGUUUUUGGAUUUUUAAUUACGGGAUGUGGUAUUAAUGUGUGUUUCUUGACAUGACUUUGGAAGAAACCUCGUCAUGUGCUUCGUACCCCUUUGAGUAAACCUGUAAUGUUAUUGUAACUCAUUCUGGCUCAUACGUUUUGUGAUUCAGCACACCCUGUUUUAUUAUAAUUAUAUAUAUAUAAAUAUAGUAAAUACUUUUGUCUCUUAUUAAGGGCCACUUCAAAGUCCUUUGAUUUUCAUAAGUGCUGUGGUCCAAGUGAAAAACUUUUAUGUAUAACAUAACUGUCCAAUUCAGUGUUCAUUUUGUUGACCUUUAAAUUCAAAAUGGCACAUUUUGCCGUCUAACUUUGAACCUAUGAAGUAAAUGUAAGUGGUGGUUUAAGUAAACACCAGGGCUACAAAUUUUAGAUAUACACUAUGCUCAUAUUUGAUGUGUGGUAUCAGAGAAUAUUGUACAAUUGGGAUUAAUCACUGAAAUAACUAGGAACGAGAUUUCACUUUGAAAUUUGAUAACACUAAAAUAUCAGUAGAUACCUUUAACGAAAACAAAAUACAUAAAUGUACAAAGGGAUGGAAAAGUUAAUUAUGUUUCCCAAGUGAAGAUUGACUUCUUCGUCUCAAUUUUCUCUUAAUGGUGUUAACAUUGUUGCAUGUAUUUAACAAUGCUCCAUUCACCAACUUUACGUAAAGUGAAACAUCAUUAUUGCCACUGGGUAGGUAAGUUGAUGACUCAUUAGUGUGUGAUGAAAAAUAAUAUAUGAAAAAUACUACAUCUGCUACGAAUAAGUUGUUGGGUUUUAAUUGCCAUAGUUAAUACAAACAUGAAAUUCUUAAAGCAACAAUGCAAUUGUCUGCUUUGUAUGUAAUAUAUUACUAAAUAAUAAUAUACCUACGUUAUUUGGCAUGCAAUUGACUCUUGAAAAUUAUACACCCAAACACAAAAUAAAGGUUUUGUGUGAAUUAGCAGCUGUAGUAGAGCAUCGAGGCUGAAGAGUAGGAGCAACAUCCACACAAGAACUGUCUGAAGCUGGGUCUUCUGAAAUAUACAAAGAAUGCAAAUAUGUUUUGUGAGGAUGAGAAACAAAAUAUAAUCAUCUGCUGUGAGAUUAAUGUUUAACAAAUUUGCCUCUAAAUUAAGAAGUUUAUUGAGAUAUGCCAAUUAGUAUUCACCUUUAUGGUUUGGGUUUGAAGAUUCUAUCACAUAAAUGUUAAUUAUUUAAAAUUAUACAACAUCAGCCUAUAAUUUCUAAGUGCACGAAUGAGAUAUAAUUCAACUAAUGCAUAUAAAUGUUCAGUCUGAAUUGGGUGUAGUAUUAAUCAAAUAUGAUUGAAACAUGCAUUAUAAAGUGUAAUUUUGUAACCAGACUUCAGAUUGAUGGUGUCAGUCAUUCCUAAUGUUGAUAACUACUACGUUAUGUACUAUGCCUCUUUUUCCCCAUUACUUGUACAAUAUUCUGUUUGUUAUCACUUACAAUAAGUGGCUUUUGCACAAUCAACCAACACAAACUAUUUUGCCAUCUACCCUUAGCAAUGUGUUAGUUCUUCGGGGAACAUGAUGAUGAUAUGAUGCAUUAUUUGUACACAAUUGUUACAAAAAUAUAAUUAAUUGUAAUUAUUUUCUUCACAAUACUGGAAUUAUAAUACCUACUUUCAAUAGUCGUAAGCAAUCUUUAAUUUGUACGUUAAGUAAAACAAAUGAUCUAUUAUUCAGAAUCACUAAAAAUUACAAUAAAUAUGCAAGUUUCUUUCCUGUAUUAGAUAGCACAAUAAAAUUUUUAAAAAAUACAACUAUACAUAACUUAAUUUUUUUUGUGGUUAAUUAUUAUAUUGUUUCAAGUUAGUUUUCUUUUUUCCUGAAUUAUAUUUGUAAAGAAAUUAUUUACUAAUUGUUAAAUGUUGCAUGUUGUGUGUAUUGUUUUUGUUUUGUCGUCUUGUAUUUUGUAUUGUUUUGUUCUGUCUGUAUGUAUCUUUGUUUGUAUCGUGCCUACCACCCAAGGCCAUAAGCUGUAGGUAGGCACGCAACAAAUAUUAAAUAAAUAAAAUAAAUAAUA